GAAUCCCUAAGGAGCUGGUGAAGGCCUCCCUGAUCUGGCAAAUGUGACAAUGUGAAGUGCAUAUAUCUGACUCGGAGAAAGGAGUGAAAAGCAGCAGAGAGAUGAGGCGGAUGGCCCAAAGGGUUUCACAGGAGGCAAGUUCCUGAAGGGCCUUCCCUGUGCUUCUCCAUGCUUCCAAGCUGCUGCUCAGAUCAAAGGAAAUGGCUCCAAGGAGGCUGCAGAGGGAGACCACGCAUGCCAGCAGGAUCCUUUGAGCUGUUUUUCUACCACCCGUGUUGGAGAAGGAGGAAUAUCUAAAAGAAAGAAAUGAAAGAAAAAAGGAAAAGAGGGGUGGGAAGAGGCAGGUGAGUCUGAUCAUGGUGGUGUUUCUUACAGCUCCCGAAAAUACGGCCGGAGCUAACAGUGAUACAGUCUGAAACGAAGCAAAGGGAUCAU
This 435-nucleotide long non-coding RNA is filed under the name Gallus gallus (chicken). Its description in RNAcentral is "long non-coding RNA NONGGAT004971". Lineage: Eukaryota; Metazoa; Chordata; Aves; Galliformes; Phasianidae. The record is from RNAcentral.